UACGGAAGGCAGCAGUGGGGAAUAUUGCACAAUGGGCGAAAGCCUGAUGCAGCUAUGCCGCGUGUAUGAAGAAGGCCUUAGGGUUGUAAAGUACUUUCAUCGGGGAGGAAAAACAAAACUAAUAAUUUUAUUUCUUGACGUUACCCGAAAAAGAAGCACCGGCUAACUCCGUGCCAGCAGCCGCGGUAAUACGGAGGGUGCUAGCGUUAAUCAGAAUUACUGGGCGUAAAGGGCACGCAGGCGGUUAAUUAAGUUGGAUGUGAAAUCCCCGGGCUUAACCUGGGAAUGGCAUUCAAGACUGGUUAGCUAGAGUCUUGUAGAGGGGGGUAGAAUUCCAUGUGUAGCGGUGAAAUGCGUAGAGAUGUGGAGGAAUACCGGUGGCGAAGGCGGCCCCUGGACAAAGACUGACGCUCAUGUGCGAAAGCGUGGGGAGCAAACAGGGAUUAGAUACC
Molecule: ribosomal RNA, 452 nt
Filed under: uncultured bacterium
Lineage: Bacteria
Description: bacterial SSU rRNA
Rfam family: Bacterial small subunit ribosomal RNA
Source: RNAcentral